CCUCUUGAUGAUGAAGAGUUGGUGAUGUACAUCUGCAAUGGGCUUGAUCCCGAGUACAAUCCUUUAGUCUCUGCCCUUGUAACUAGAGUUGAACCUGUUACUCCUGCUGAAUUGUUCUCACAGUUAUUAAGCUUUGAGA
Small nucleolar RNA from Panicum virgatum (switchgrass), 139 nucleotides. RefSeq annotates it as small nucleolar RNA Z247. The transcript has a single exon. NCBI's taxonomy places the organism in Eukaryota, Viridiplantae, Streptophyta, Magnoliopsida, Poales, Poaceae. The record is from RefSeq and is a predicted model, not a curated record.